UACGUAGGGGGCAAGCGUUGUCCGGAUUUAUUGGGCGUAAAGAGCGUGUAGGCGGCCAUACAGGUCAGCUGUGAAAACUCGAGGCUCAACCUCGAGACGUCGGUUGAAACCGUAUGGCUAGAGUCCGGAAGAGGAGAGUGGAAUUCCCGGUGUAGCGGUGAAAUGCGCAGAUAUCGGGAAGAACACCCGUGGCGAAGGCGGCUCUCUGGGACGGUACUGACGCUGAGACGCGAAAGCGUUGGGAGCGAACAGG
RNAcentral lists this ribosomal RNA (253 nucleotides) under uncultured bacterium. Its description in RNAcentral is "partial 16S ribosomal RNA". It matches the Rfam family "Bacterial small subunit ribosomal RNA", at positions 524 to 776 of the family's 1533-position model. The record is from RNAcentral.